Tetranychus urticae (two-spotted spider mite) is the source of this 655-nucleotide non-coding RNA. The record is from RefSeq and is a predicted model, not a curated record. NCBI's taxonomy places the organism in Eukaryota, Metazoa, Arthropoda, Arachnida, Trombidiformes, Tetranychidae.
UUUUCCUUGCAACGUAAUAACCAACAUAAAUAACAACAAGAAUCUUUCCUCCCCUUCAGAUUCUUCAACAACAUCAUUAACUUUUUAAUAUCUUCCUCUCAGCAUUAAUGCAAUUUGUAUCCAAAUUGAGAAUAAGAAACAUCCGAAUCACCUUUUACUUUCAUUAUUGUCUACAUAAACCAUCAAAAGUGUCCCAAAUCAACUGAUUUGUUCACCAACUGCUUGAUCUUUUUUGCUUGUUUCAUUAUUACUCUGUCCUUAUUACUUGUUCAACUCCAAUCAUGAAUAAAUUAAUCUUGUACAGUUUCAUCGGGAUCAUUGUUUCCUUUUUACUGAUCGCUUCAACUCCAUCAAGUGAGGCUUUUUUUGUUCUCGUGGGUAACACAACAGCUUGUGAUACUUGUGAUGACUACAGCACUUACUCGGGACGUAAUGUUCUAUGUUGUUUCACCAAAAGCCAAUGCUGCGGACUCAACUCUUUUGAUGAGGAAGCUCCACAAUCUGGUUGAUCAUAACGCUCAUCAAUAUGCUAAUUAAUGGAAUGGUGUUUUUGUCAUUUGCUGGCGAAUCUCUUGGCACAUCGACUUUUUAAUGGAAUGUCUGUCUUCUGCUCUUGUCUUUUACAAUUUUAUUAAAUUUUCUAAUUAAUGCACAA